CUACGGGACGCACCAGUGAGGAAUAUUGCACAAUGGGGGGAACCCUGAUGCAGCAACGCCGCGUGGAGGAUGACGCAUUUCGGUGUGUAAACUCCUUUUAUAUGUCAAGAAAAUGACGGUAGCAUAUGAAUAAGCACCGGCUAACUCCGUGCCAGCAGCCGCGGUAAACGGAGGGUGCAAGCGUUACAUCGGAAUCACUGGGCGUAAAGGACGCGUAGGCGGGUUGGAAAGUCAGGUGUGAAAUCCUACAGCUUAACUGUGGAACUGCACUUGAAACUUCUAAUCUAGAGUAUGGGAGGGGGAGAUGGAAUUAGUGGUGUAGGGGUAAAAUCCGUAGAUAUCACUAGGAAUACCUAAAGCGAAGGCGAUCUCCUGGAACAUUACUGACGCUAAGGCGUGAAAGCGUGGGGAGCAAACAGGAUUAGAUACCCGUGUAGUC
RNAcentral lists this ribosomal RNA (439 nucleotides) under uncultured bacterium. RNAcentral's name for it is "partial 16S ribosomal RNA". It matches the Rfam family "Bacterial small subunit ribosomal RNA", at positions 339 to 795 of the family's 1533-position model. The record is from RNAcentral.